GACGGGACCGCACAAGCGGUGGAUGAUGUGGAUUAAUUCGAUGCAACGCGAAAACCUUACCUACCCUUGACAUGUCCGGAAUCCCGAAGAGAUUUGGGAGUGCUCGCAAGGAGAACCGGAACACAGGUGCUGCAUGGCUGUCGUCAGCUCGUGUCGUGAGAUGUUGGGUUAAGUCCCGCAACGAGCGCAACCCUUGUCAUUAGUUGCCAUCAUUUGGUUGGGCACUCUAAUGAGACUGCCGGUGACAAACCGGAGGAAGGUGGGGAUGACGUCAAGUCCUCAUGGCCCUUAUGGGUAGGGCUUCACACGUCAUACAAUGGUCGGUACAGAGGGUUGCCAACCCGCGAGGGGGAGCUAAUCCCACAAAGCCGAUCGUAGUCCGGAUCGCAGUCUGCAACUCGACUGCGUGAAGUCGGAAUCGCUAGUAAUCGUGGAUCAGCAUGUCACGGUGAAUACGUUCCCGGGUCUU
Molecule: ribosomal RNA, 469 nt
Filed under: uncultured Rhodocyclaceae bacterium
Lineage: Bacteria; Pseudomonadati; Pseudomonadota; Betaproteobacteria; Rhodocyclales; Rhodocyclaceae
Description: bacterial SSU rRNA
Rfam family: Bacterial small subunit ribosomal RNA
Source: RNAcentral